This 27-nucleotide non-coding RNA is filed under the name Homo sapiens (human). The record is from RNAcentral. Lineage: Eukaryota; Metazoa; Chordata; Mammalia; Primates; Hominidae.
UGCUCAAAGAGAUUUGUACAGAUGUGU